GUUUAGGGUUUAGUUUGUUGCCAUGUCAAUUAAUUCUACUUUUAUUUAUGAUUUGGUUGACAUGUCAUGGCUGACAUGGCUUGGCAAACUAAACCCUAAAUCCUUUAUAAAAUAAAGAUUUGAGUUUGUGGGCCUUUAGUAUAUAUAUCAAUUUGAUAAUCAUUACUUUAUUUUUAUUUAUAAUCUAGAAAUCAUAGUUUGUUGUCAUGGUUGAGUUUGUUGGAGUAA
Molecule: long non-coding RNA, 228 nt
Filed under: Theobroma cacao (cacao)
Lineage: Eukaryota; Viridiplantae; Streptophyta; Magnoliopsida; Malvales; Malvaceae
Description: long non-coding RNA (TCAC_LNC003937)
Source: RNAcentral